RNAcentral lists this ribosomal RNA (19 nucleotides) under Rhizoctonia solani. RNAcentral's name for it is "partial 28S ribosomal RNA". Lineage: Eukaryota; Fungi; Basidiomycota; Agaricomycetes; Cantharellales; Ceratobasidiaceae. The record is from RNAcentral.
UAUUGAAUUUUAAUGAAGA